Molecule: transfer-messenger RNA, 353 nt
Filed under: Lysobacteraceae
Lineage: Bacteria; Pseudomonadati; Pseudomonadota; Gammaproteobacteria; Lysobacterales
Also listed under: 1 other name
Description: CALTTS01 sp003449195 Standard tmRNA
Rfam family: transfer-messenger RNA
About the family: Bacterial tmRNA, also known as 10Sa RNA or SsrA, is named for its dual tRNA and mRNA-like properties. Its role is to liberate the mRNA from a stalled ribosome. To accomplish this part of the tmRNA is used as a reading frame that ends in a translation stop signal.
Source: RNAcentral
GGGGAUGCACUGGUUUCGACGGGGGUUGUGAAGUCGUCCGGAGCAUGCCGAGGGGGCAGCUUUCCUCGUAAAUCCAGCGGCAAAACUCAUAGUUGCCAACGACGACAACUACGCUCUGGCCGCUUAAGGCCUAGCCCCGAACCCACUUGUGCCCGUGCUCGUGGAUGUAGGGUCAUCAUCACGGGAUCGCCCGAAGCUGCCGCCUGUCGGCAAGGGUCAAAUCAAGCAGGCUGGUCCUCCGGUGCGCUUUGCGCGACGUGCUGCCGGGGGGCGAGACUCAACGUCGAGCUAAGCAUGUAGCGCCGGGCAUGGAUCGCCUUCGGACGGGGGUUCGAUUCCCCCCAUCUCCACCA